AGCGAACGCUGGCGGCAGGCCUAACACAUGCAAGUCGAACGAACUCUUCGGAGUUAGUGGCGGACGGGUGAGUAACACGUGGGAACGUGCCUUUUGGUUCGGAAUAACUCAGGGAAACUUGUGCUAAUACCGAAUGUGCCCUUCGGGGGAAAGAUUUAUCGCCAUUAGAGCGGCCCGCGUCUGAUUAGCUAGUUGGUGAGGUAACGGCUCACCAAGGCGACGAUCAGUAGCUGGUCUGAGAGGAUGACCAGCCACACUGGGACUGAGACACGGCCCAGACUCCUACGGGAGGCAGCAGUGGGGAAUCUUGCGCAAUGGGCGAAAGCCUGACGCAGCCAUGCCGUGUGAAUGAUGAAGGUCUUAGGAUUGUAAAAUUCUUUCACCGGGGACGAUAAUGACGGUACCCGGAGAAGAAGCCCCGGCUAACUUCGUG
This 433-nucleotide ribosomal RNA is filed under the name uncultured bacterium. RNAcentral's name for it is "partial 16S ribosomal RNA". It matches the Rfam family "Bacterial small subunit ribosomal RNA", at positions 29 to 507 of the family's 1533-position model. The record is from RNAcentral.